CCUACGGGAGGCAGCAGUGAGGAAUAUUGCUCAAUGGGGGAAACCCUGAAGCAGCAACGCCGCGUGAGGGAUGAAGGCGCUUUGCGUUGUAAACCUCUGUAGUUGGAGACAAAACUCUCUCUACUGAGAGAUUGAUGGUAUCCAAAAAGUAAGGAUCGGCUAACUACAUGCCAGCAGCCGCGGUAAU
Molecule: ribosomal RNA, 187 nt
Filed under: uncultured bacterium
Lineage: Bacteria
Description: partial 16S ribosomal RNA
Rfam family: Bacterial small subunit ribosomal RNA
Source: RNAcentral